Molecule: long non-coding RNA, 2888 nt
Organism: Passer domesticus (house sparrow)
Lineage: Eukaryota; Metazoa; Chordata; Aves; Passeriformes; Passeridae
Exons: 2
Source: RefSeq, a predicted model, not a curated record
GAAGGAUGAAAGUUUGACAAGAAAGUCUCACAGAUAUGUAUGCUUAGCAGAAAGAUUUUUGAAUGUAGAAGCUGAGGAAGGAAUAGAGAUGGAAGCAAGUUUUGCUAUAGAAGAAAAGAAUUGCUGAGCCAGUCUUACUGGAUAACCAAGGAGGCAAAGGGUAUGUUAGUUAGACGGGGGUUUUUAUGACUUAGAACAAAGGAUAAACCCACCUCAAACAAGAAGAUGUUUUUACCAAGCAGAAAGAUAGCACAGGCAAACAAGUCAGCAAAUGUUGCAAGUAGAAAAAAGGUCUCAGAAUUUUCCACUGCAAGAAAACCGAAGAACAACUUCUAGCUUAAACUGUAAUGUACUAACCUUUAGUGAUUGGAGAAUACUAACAUGAAUAUGGUAAUUGUAUUAGUUAUGAUAGGCUAUAGAUAAAAGUUAAGGUAUAGAUUGGUUCUACUGUAUUAAGAUGUUCAGCAAAGAAAAGUAUAUAAUGAAUUUGUAACCUAAACUCAGGGUCUCCAGGCCUGCCUGCAGCUGCAGCUGACAGCUGUAGGCUCAGGCUCUGUCGCCCACGACCCUGGACUGCUCUAACAUCUUGCAUGGAAUAAACUGCAUUUUGGAAGAGCCGCCUGGAGUCCCGCAUCUCUCAUUUAGGCUCUUACAGUGGCGCCCACGUUUUAGUUGGCAAACUCGGACUUAUUAGCAGUAAGAGACCUCUCGGUGAACUCAGUAAAAAGCGGCCGCACGGAUUAGGCACCUGAAACGAGGGUGACCGGGGCCCGGACAGAAGCUGCUGCUGGACAGUGCCUGGAUCGGAGCCUCUAUAUACAGCGCCUGCUGCAUAGCUGGACAGCAGAUACAGGACUCAAGUGGAUUCCAGCAAAGAACGUGAAACCGUACCACCCCUCAAAGCCCGUGGAUGCUUCCGCAGCAGCCAGUGACCCUGCGAGUGGAAGCCGAGAGACAGGCACGCAAACAUGAUCUACACAGGAUCACCCAGAGAAAACUGUCUGCCAGAAACUGUUCAAGAAGAGAAUGGAGUUGUAUUAUAAUUUGCGUGGGUGUAUGUUACUUUUAACCUUUUGUUUUUAUCUUUGCAGUGAAGCUUUACCUGUAACUCAACCAAAAACAAAUGUUUGGGUUUCUUUAGCCAAGUCUGCAGGCUCAUUUGCUUAUCUAACACUAGCCCUGAUAAACCUUUUUCAACUUGUUUAGUUGGAGUGCCUUUCCCAGAAGGUUUUGAUAAUGUUACUUUUGAGAAAUAUUGGCCAUAUGAUGAUCACCACACUUCUCCAACUCCUAGCCCAAGACACCAAACUUAUAUUGAUAAUUUUAAAGUUGAUAAAUCUGAUCUUCAAGAAUUAGAAAUUUUAGGCUCAUUAACUAUGGACACUUGUUAUUUGUUUCAUUUUAUAGGACAAAAUGGGCCACAUUUAAAUGUUACUCCUUAUCACCCAGUUUAUAACAAUAUGACUUCUUGGUGUAAUCAAACUAAGCUUCUUAUAUAUGAUGAACCUUAUGCAGAUCGUUUUAACAAACUUCCAAUUCGAUUUCCUAAAGGAAUUUGGCUCAUAUGUGGAGACAGGGCUUGGCAGGGUAUUCCCUCAAAACUAGACGGUGGCCCUUGUGCCCUGGGACAACUUACAGUAAUUGCUCCCAGUAUCAAAAAAGCAAUGAAAAAGAAAAAUAGAAAAAUAAGAUCUUCCUUAGGGCAUCAUUAUGAGAGCAACUGUGAUAGUGAGUUUCACCCUUGGAACUCUGGAAAUUCAAUUGUUACAAGCAUUUUUUUACCUCAGUUAAGUUCUGCAAUUGCACUAAAACAGUUAAACAAAUUAGGGUGUUGGCUCAGUAAAGAAGUGAAUGCCACCUCUACAAUAAUUAGUGAUUUGCUGACAGAUGAGGAGGCAGUCAGACAUGCCACUUUACAAAACAGAGCUGCUAUUGACUUUCUUUUACUAGCACAUGGACUUGGUUGUGAAGAUUUUGAAGGAUUGUGUUGUAUGAAUUUGUCUGAUCAUUCUGCUUCUGUUCAUAAACAGCUGCAAAACUUAAGAGAUUUAGCUAACCAAAUUACAACAGAUGAAUCAUCUUGGUUAGACAAUUUGUUUGAUGGUUGGAGCUUUGCACCUUGGCUGAAGGAACUUUGUAAGUUAGGCUUGAUUGUGUUGGUGGUGAUAAUUACAAUUAUGUUAGUAGUACCCUGUGCACUUCAGUGUGUGCAAAGAAUGAUGAAUAAGACAGUUUCUAGCAUCUUUGUUGUUCAUCAGAACGGGGGAGAUGUUGGGAAGGAUGAAAGUUUGACAAGAAAGUCUCACAGAUAUGUAUGCUUAGCAGAAAGAUUUUUGAAUGUAGAAGCUGAGGAAGGAAUAGAGAUGGAAGCAAGUUUUGCUAUAGAAGAAAAGAAUUGCUGAGCCAGUCUUACUGGAUAACCAAGGAGGCAAAGGGUAUGUUAGUUAGACGGGGGUUUUUAUGACUUAGAACAAAGGAUAAACCCACCUCAAACAAGAAGAUGUUUUUACCAAGCAGAAAGAUAGCACAGGCAAACAAGUCAGCAAAUGUUGCAAGUAGAAAAAAGGUCUCAGAAUUUUCCACUGCAAGAAAACCGAAGAACAACUUCUAGCUUAAACUGUAAUGUACUAACCUUUAGUGAUUGGAGAAUACUAACAUGAAUAUGGUAAUUGUAUUAGUUAUGAUAGGCUAUAGAUAAAAGUUAAGGUAUAGAUUGGUUCUACUGUAUUAAGAUGUUCAGCAAAGAAAAGUAUAUAAUGAAUUUGUAACCUAAACUCAGGGUCUCCAGGCCUGCCUGCAGCUGCAGCUGACAGCUGUAGGCUCAGGCUCUGUCGCCCACGACCCUGGACUGCUCUAACAUCUUGCAUGGAAUAAACUGCAUUUUGGAA